Diospyros lotus (date-plum) is the source of this 116-nucleotide small nuclear RNA. RefSeq annotates it as U5 spliceosomal RNA. The transcript has a single exon. NCBI's taxonomy places the organism in Eukaryota, Viridiplantae, Streptophyta, Magnoliopsida, Ericales, Ebenaceae. The record is from RefSeq and is a predicted model, not a curated record.
AGCCACGCGGUGGGCACAGAGCGAACUAUUCUUUCGCCUUUUACUAAAGAAUACCGUGUGUUCGCCGCAUUUAGUGGCAUACGCCUAUUUUUGGAGAGGCUCGCCCAUUGGGAGUU